UCAGUUUUAUUUAAGCUUUUAAGUGAUUCAGUAGAGAUAAAAGUAUUCUCUUUUAAUGUGAUGUAUAAAAUGUGAUAUGUGAAAAAGAUGAACAGUUGAUUAAAAGAAAGAAGAACAAUGGAAUACCACUUUGCGACUCGGUCAUAAUUAUAACCUCGAAGGGGGAUGAGGGUUUUAUAAAACUUUACAUCUGGUAUCAAAUGUUGCCGUACGUACCUUCAUCCUGAAAAGAAUAUGAUGAUUCUUCGUCUGACCAGCAGGCUUUAUAUAGUACGCGCCUUUCUUGUGAUCCCCGCCUUGCUUCCAAGUAGCUUGCAAGAGUCUCCAUAAAAGUAGUUGAAUCCAGUGGGGAUAUAUGAUACAAAGCGCAGAAGAGACGAAGGAUCUCCGACGAUCAACGCAGCUUGACGAGAGGAUACUCAACAAGAGUGUCCUCAAACAGAUGCUGGACGGCUCAACCAUUUCAUCAAGCAUCAGUGCUCUUUUGUCGCCUCAUUCAACUCUCAAUCAAUUAUCGACACAUAUAUGUGGAUAGAGACACUAUACUAUAAAUAUCAUAUUUGUUGAAGAUCUUCAAAAUUAGUUUAUUUCUAUAUUUAUUUUCACAAAGAACAGAAUUAGCUUCUCGAUAUUAAGUCAUGUAAAAGUCGUUGACAAAGGGUUGAACAGCAAAAUUUCAAGUAGUUGGAUAACGAAAGGAGACAAGUGAACCAUUGAAUGAUCAGUUAAGCUUUUGAAAAAAAUUGAUUUUUUUUUGUUACUCUUCUUUUUACUCAUCAUUUAGUACACUUGAGGACUUUUUUUAUCUGUAAAGAUUGUGAAGAAGCUGGUAAAAAAGAAUUUGAAGAGCAAGCUAUGACAAAUUAAAUAAUUCACUUGCAUUUAAUUGUAUACGUGAAGAGCAUUUUUAGCAAAAAGAUUUAAGGUAGUUUUGUAAAUAAAGUUCAA
This is a long non-coding RNA of Chelonus insularis, 948 nucleotides long. RefSeq lists it as uncharacterized. The transcript has 4 exons. The record is from RefSeq and is a predicted model, not a curated record. Lineage: Eukaryota; Metazoa; Arthropoda; Insecta; Hymenoptera; Braconidae.